CAAGAGUUCUAUACUCCAAACCCAAUGUGAAUCUACCUGUAGUUUGCUUUGGCAGGCGAUCCCGGGGGGGUCAGCUGCCUGGCCUUCGGGCUGGGUGCCUGCCGAAGGACUGCUAAACUCUGUUAUAUUUGCUAUCUGAGCACUAUAUCCAUCCGAAAGGAAGGAGAAAAUGAAUCA
RNAcentral lists this unclassified non-coding RNA (177 nucleotides) under uncultured fungus. RNAcentral describes it as "sequence contains ITS1". The record is from RNAcentral. Lineage: Eukaryota; Fungi.